AGCGAGAGUAGAAGCGUUCACUGCUGCGUGAAGUGCCGCCCGGUACUUCGGUUGAUCGGCGCAGCGGCCGGAAAUUGCUCUUGAA
RNAcentral lists this non-coding RNA (85 nucleotides) under Ralstonia sp. Its description in RNAcentral is "Xanthine-I sequence". It matches the Rfam family "Xanthine riboswitch aptamer (NMT1 RNA)". Rfam says of the family: Later it was reported as a ncRNA that recognised Xanthine. The record is from RNAcentral. RNAcentral also lists the same sequence under 1 other name. Lineage: Bacteria; Pseudomonadati; Pseudomonadota; Betaproteobacteria; Burkholderiales; Burkholderiaceae.